This 409-nucleotide ribosomal RNA is filed under the name uncultured bacterium. RNAcentral describes it as "bacterial SSU rRNA". It matches the Rfam family "Bacterial small subunit ribosomal RNA", at positions 29 to 452 of the family's 1533-position model. The record is from RNAcentral.
AAUCAACGCUGGCGGCGCGCUUAACACAUGCAAGUCGAGCGAGAAAGGGGAGCAAUCCCUGAGUAAAGCGGCGCACGGGUGAGUAACACGUGGGGAAUCUACCUCUGGGUGGGGAAUAACUCUGGGAAACCGGAGCUAAUACCGCAUAAGCCUGGGAAGGGAAAGUCGAAAGACGCCGGGAGAGGACCCCGCGGCCGAUUAGCUAGUUGGUGAGGUAACGGCUCACCAAGGCAAAGAUCGGUAGCCGGCCUGAGAGGGCACACGGCCACACUGGCACUGAAACACGGGCCAGACUCCUACGGGAGGCAGCAGUGGGGAAUCUUGCACAAUGGGGGCAACCCUGAUGCAGCGACGCCGCGUGAGCGAUGAAGCCCUUCGGGCGUAAAGCUCUUUCGGCAGGAACGAUAAU